This 475-nucleotide ribosomal RNA is filed under the name uncultured bacterium. RNAcentral describes it as "partial 16S ribosomal RNA". It matches the Rfam family "Bacterial small subunit ribosomal RNA", at positions 28 to 523 of the family's 1533-position model. The record is from RNAcentral.
GGUGAACGCUGGCGGCGUGCUUAAGACAUGCAAGUCGAACGCAGUCUUCGGACUGAGUGGCGCACGGGUGAGUAACACGUAACUGACCUACCCCCAAGUCGCGGAUAACUGGCCGAAAGGACAGCUAAUACGUGAUGUGAUGUCCCCUUUCUGGGGGGCCAUUAAAGGUUUACUGCUUGGGGAUGGGGUUGCGUUCCAUCAGCUAGUUGGCGGGGUAAAGGCCCACCAAGGCAACGACGGAUAGCCGGCCUGAGAGGGUGGCCGGCCACAGGGGCACUGAGACACGGGUCCCACUCCUACGGGAGGCAGCAGUUAGGAAUCUUCCACAAUGGGCGAAAGCCUGAUGGAGCGACGCCGCGUGAGGGAUGAAGGUUCUCGGAUCGUAAACCUCUGAAUCAGGGACGAAAGACGCGUAAGCGGGAUGACGGUACCUGAGUAAUAGCACCGGCUAACUCCGUGCCAGCAGCCGCAGUAA